Small nuclear RNA from Tupaia belangeri (northern tree shrew), 107 nucleotides. The record is from Ensembl. Lineage: Eukaryota; Metazoa; Chordata; Mammalia; Scandentia; Tupaiidae.
GUGUUUGCUUAAUCAGCACAUAUACUAAAGUUGGAAUAAUAAAUAGAAGAUUAGUAUGGCCCCUGUGCAAGGAUGCUAUGCAAAUUCGUGAAGCUUUCUAUACUUUU